AGCCUUGAGAUUAUAUUCUAGGUGAUGCCUGCCCAGUGCUAUAAGUAAACGGCCGCAGUACCUUGACUGUGCUAAGGUAGCAUAAUCAGUUGUCUUUUAAAUGGAGUCGGGAAUGAAUGGAUUUAUAGGGUGAUACUGUCUCUUUUAUAUUUUAUUGAAUUUACUUAUCAGGUGAAAAUACCUGUUUAUAGAAAAAAGACGAGAAGACCCUAGGAGUUUUUAUUAAUAGUUAAUAUUAUUAACUAAUGUUUUUGUUGGGGCGACAUGGGAACAAUUAACUUCCUUUAAAUAAUGUACCGACUUUGUAUAUAUAAUUAAACUACCCUAGGGAUAACAGCGUAAUUCUUAAUAGAGCUUGCGACCUCGAUGUUGGACUAGGGAUUUUAUUGGCUAGCCGCCAAUAAACAUUGUUCUGUUCGAACUUAACUCCCUACAU
RNAcentral lists this ribosomal RNA (436 nucleotides) under Elysia macnaei. RNAcentral's name for it is "partial 16S ribosomal RNA". It matches the Rfam family "Bacterial large subunit ribosomal RNA", at positions 1829 to 2601 of the family's 2925-position model. Lineage: Eukaryota; Metazoa; Mollusca; Gastropoda; Plakobranchidae. The record is from RNAcentral.